RNAcentral lists this long non-coding RNA (505 nucleotides) under Anser brachyrhynchus (Pink-footed goose). Its description in RNAcentral is "lncRNA (ENSABRG00000000787.1)". The record is from RNAcentral. Lineage: Eukaryota; Metazoa; Chordata; Aves; Anseriformes; Anatidae.
CCCCCAAGUUUUAAUCCAAGGGCUUUGUCACCUUGAACUUCACUGAACUUCAUUCAGCUGGAAAACCUGGCUCUGGAGGAAAAAGGCACCAAUUCCAAGAUUUGAAACUGUUUUUUCCUAGAAUCAGGUCUGGCAUGAAAACAUUCAAUUCAAGGGAAAGAAAAAAGAAAUACACACAUAUAAAAAAAAUCAUAAAUAGGAAGGAUACAGUGUUGAAAUACAUAUGAAAAAAUGUGAAAAAACAUACCAGGAUAAUAUUUUUGAACAGUAUUAAUUGUCAUUUCAAGUGCUUUUAGACCAUUUCAAAAGAGAAUAUUCUGUUUCUGAAAUGGCACAUUCCCAGGUAAAACAGUUUCUGUCUUUUGUUCAGUCUCAUUUUAUGUGUUGUUGACUAGAAUGUUAAUGCAAUAAUUUACAGUUGCAUUAUCUUUAUGGUUGUAUAUUAUAAUAACUUAAUGGAGCAGAAAUGCAUUGCAGAUGGACAGAUAAAGACUGCCUGUGAAAA